CUAAGCAGCCGAUCACAGGUCUUUGCUUAUUUUGGAUACUAAACUGUGUUGAGCCUGGUUAGUACAUGGAUGGGCAACCAUCUGGGAAUUCAAGGAGCUGCAGA
RNAcentral lists this ribosomal RNA (104 nucleotides) under Salvator merianae (Argentine black and white tegu). The record is from RNAcentral. Lineage: Eukaryota; Metazoa; Chordata; Lepidosauria; Squamata; Teiidae.